UGGUUCCGUGGUGUAGGGGUUAACAUGCCUGCCUGUCACGCAGGAGAUCGCGGGUUCAAAUCCCGUCGGGACCGUC
Molecule: transfer RNA, 76 nt
Filed under: Listeria fleischmannii subsp. coloradonensis
Lineage: Bacteria; Bacillati; Bacillota; Bacilli; Caryophanales; Listeriaceae
Description: tRNA-Asp(gtc)
Rfam family: tRNA
About the family: Transfer RNA (tRNA) molecules are approximately 80 nucleotides in length. Their secondary structure includes four short double-helical elements and three loops (D, anti-codon, and T loops).
Source: RNAcentral